CAAAAAUUUCUAGAAUUAAACUUUUUUUCUUAACCUGAUUUUUGGGUUUAUAAGACUAUAACAAAAUAAUUGGUGAAGAAAAAAUCAUAUGGUGGUGCACUUCUUUUUUUGCUACAGCCCUUUGAAAAUGCCCAAUUUUGAUGAUUUUCCCAUUUUUCAUCAAUUUUUACCUAUUUUUGGGCUUUUACUGUGAAAAAAUCACAGUUCCACAAUUAAACUUUUUUUCAUACUUUCUAUGAAGAUGAAGUGGACCAAUCUGAAUAAAUUUUACUUAAAAAAACUAUAGGUAG
RNAcentral lists this long non-coding RNA (290 nucleotides) under Mytilus galloprovincialis (Mediterranean mussel). Lineage: Eukaryota; Metazoa; Mollusca; Bivalvia; Mytilida; Mytilidae. The record is from RNAcentral.